This is a long non-coding RNA of Bubalus bubalis (water buffalo), 601 nucleotides long. RefSeq lists it as uncharacterized. NCBI's taxonomy places the organism in Eukaryota, Metazoa, Chordata, Mammalia, Artiodactyla, Bovidae. The record is from RefSeq and is a predicted model, not a curated record. The transcript is spliced from 2 exons.
UGGCCACCUAAUGCGAAGAACUGACUCAUUGGAAAAGACCCUGAUGCUGGGAAAGAUUGAAGUGUAUAAUGGAAUCACUUUGCGUGUACCUGAAACUAACACAACAUUGCGAAAAAAUGAAGACCAAUAAUGGAUUAAUCGAGGUCUUUGUAUCCAUACUGGUGAAGAUUUGUGACAGUCUGUUAGGUGCGGAAAGAAUUCUGGCAGUGGAGUGAAAAGGCCAAGCUCAGUGACUUCAGAUACGUCCUGCCAGGCCUCAGUGUGCUCAGAGGUAACCUGAGAUGGAGAAAGAGUGAAGCGUUGUCCUGAGGAUGAAUGAGGUGACGAUCGAGAAAGGACUCUGGGCCACCCCCACGGUGCAGUGUUUAUUUUUUUAAUGAAUCACCCAAAUUCACAAAGACCUAGAGCAAGGAAGAGCAAACCAUGGCCCACGUGCCAUGUCUAGCCCAUCUCCUCUUUUCUCUUGACCUCUCGAGCCAAGAAUCACUUCACAUUUUAAAAAAUAGUUGGGGGAAAAAUUAUAGAAGAAUAAUAUUUCCUGCCACAUGAAAAUUCCAUGCAAUUCCAAUUACCAGUGUUCUUAAAGUAUCGUUGGAACCUA